UACGGGAGGCAGCAGUGGGGAAUAUUGCACAAUGGGCGAAAGCCUGAUGCAGCUAUGCCGCGUGUAUGAAGAAGGCCUUAGGGUUGUAAAGUACUUUCAUCGGGGAGGAAAAAACAAAACUAAUAAUUUUAUUUCUUGACGUUACCCGAAAAAGAAGCACCGGCUAACUCCGUGCCAGCAGCCGCGGUAAUACGGAGGGUGCUAGCGUUAAUCAGAAUUACUGGGCGUAAAGAGCACGUAGGUGGUUUUUUUAAGUCAGAUGUGAAAUCCCUGGGCUUAACCUGGAACUGCAUUUUGAAACUGAAAUACUAGAGUAUCGUAGAGGGAGGUAGAAUUCUAGGUGUAGCGGUGAAAUGCGUAGAUAUCUGGAGGAAUACCUGUGGCGAAAGCGGCCUCCUAAACGAAUACUGACACUGAGGUGCGAAAGCGUGGGGAGUAAACAGGGAUUAGAUACC
This 455-nucleotide ribosomal RNA is filed under the name uncultured bacterium. RNAcentral's name for it is "bacterial SSU rRNA". It matches the Rfam family "Bacterial small subunit ribosomal RNA", at positions 340 to 786 of the family's 1533-position model. The record is from RNAcentral.